This 404-nucleotide ribosomal RNA is filed under the name uncultured bacterium. RNAcentral describes it as "bacterial SSU rRNA". It matches the Rfam family "Bacterial small subunit ribosomal RNA", at positions 355 to 776 of the family's 1533-position model. The record is from RNAcentral.
UGGGGAAUAUUGCACAAUGGGGGAAACCCUGAUGCAGCGACGCCGCGUGGAGGAUGAAGGUCUUCGGGUUGUAAACUCCUUUUCUUGGGAAAGAUAAUGACGGUACCCAAGGAAUAAGCCACGGCUAACUCUGUGCCAGCAGCCGCGGUAAGACAGAGGUGGCGAGCGUUGUUCGGAAUUACUGGGCUUAAAGGGCGAGUAGGCGGUGGAGCAAGUCUGAGGUGGAAUCUUAGGGCUUAACCCUAAAACUGCCUUAGAAACUGUUUUACUUGAGUCAGUGAGGGGAGGGCGGAAUUCCUGGUGUAGCGGUGAAAUGCGUAGAUAUCAGGAGGAAGGCCUGUGGCGAAGGCGGCCCUCUGGCACUGUACUGACGCUGAGGCGCGAAAGCGUGGGGAGCAAACAGG